GAUGAACGCUGGCGGCGUGCUUAACACAUGCAAGUCGAACGGUGAACCCGGAGCUUGCGCUUUGGGAUCAGUGGCACACGGGUGUGUAACACGUGUGCAACCUGCCCCUGACUCGGGUAUAAGCGCUGGAAACGGCGUCUAAUACUGGAUAUGUGACGUGACCGCAUGGUCUGCGUGUGGGAAGAUUUUUCGGUUGGGGAUGGGCUUGCGGCCUAUCAGCUUGUUGGUGAGGUAAUGGCUCACCAAGGCGUCGACGGGUAGCCGGCCUGAGAGGGUGACCGGCCACACUGGGAUUGAGACACGGCCCAGACUCCUACGGGAGGCAGCAGUGGGGAAUAUUGCACAAUGGGCGCAAGCCUGAUGCAGCAACGCCGCGUGAGGGAUGACGGCCUUCGGGUUGUAAACCUCUUUCAGCAGGGAAGAAGCGAAAGUGACGGUACCUGCAGAAAAAGCGCCGGCUAACUACGUG
Molecule: ribosomal RNA, 469 nt
Filed under: uncultured bacterium
Lineage: Bacteria
Description: partial 16S ribosomal RNA
Rfam family: Bacterial small subunit ribosomal RNA
Source: RNAcentral